Molecule: long non-coding RNA, 565 nt
Filed under: Rhinopithecus bieti (black snub-nosed monkey)
Lineage: Eukaryota; Metazoa; Chordata; Mammalia; Primates; Cercopithecidae
Description: lncRNA (ENSRBIG00000045195.1)
Source: RNAcentral
GUGCGCCCAUGUGGACAGACAGUGGGAAACAAUAUCUGUCAGGGAGGGGGCGGAACAGGGUUUUUCUCCGGCUCUCAGCGUGUCAGCCGUUCCCAUAGUUACGAACGGGGGCGGGGUUUCUAGCAGCGUAAGGACUUUGCAGGAGCCACUGGGUUCUCCCUAGAGCAUGAAGUUGUGGCUGUAACUGGCUUGUGUUUAUGAUUACAUCUGCAAUACUCAAGAGGAAAUAGAUGCUCUGCGAAAUGGAACUCGGCAAUAUUUCCUUUUGAGAUCUUGGGGGCCGGCCGCAUCGGGACUUUAAUGAAUGACUUGGAAUCUUCUAACCUCCAGGUUUUUGAUCCCCGCCUCUCCCAGGUUUCAGAAUUCCCAGACUAUCAUCAUAUCCUGAUAGGUUGUGUACCCAAGCAGAGGCUGAUUGGAACAUUCUAGAAGAGAAGCCAGAUAUUAACCACUCACCAAGAUGUGGCAAGCAUUCAUUCUGUCCUUGAAAAAAGCUAGGAGCAUUUUUGGUAAAGAAGCCAUGAGAAGUAAUGAAUUGUUUUCCAAGUUGAGCUUUAAGACUGCC